RNAcentral lists this long non-coding RNA (1064 nucleotides) under Strigops habroptila (Kakapo). Its description in RNAcentral is "lncRNA (ENSSHBG00005008104.1)". The record is from RNAcentral. Lineage: Eukaryota; Metazoa; Chordata; Aves; Psittaciformes; Psittacidae.
UUUUUUCCAAGUUUGGAUACAAAUGGUAACUGCUGCAGUUGCAGCUAAAGACAGUGAUGACAGACCAAGGGGCAUGUAGGCCAAAUGUGACUACAGCACUAUAAAUACUGAUGGUUUUUAGUUUUAUGCACUCUUCUGAGAGUUUCUUAGGUUCUGAAGUAUGUUAUGGUGUUACAGAAUCACAGAACGGUUGAGGUUGGAAGGGACCUCUGGAGGUGAUCCUUCCCCUGGCUCAAGCUAGGCCACCUACAGCCAGUUGCCCAAGACCACAUCCAGACAGCCUUUGAGUAUGUCCAAGGAUGGAGACUUCACAACCUCCCUGCACAAUCUGCUCUAGUGCUUGGUCACCCUCACAGUAAGAAAGUGUUUCUUGAAGAUCAGAUGGAGCCUCCUGCAUUCCAGUUUGUGCCUGUCGCUUCUGGUCUUGUCACUGGGCACCACUAGAAAGAGCCCGGCUCCCUCCUCCUUGCACCAUCCCUUCAGGUGUUUAUACACACUGAGGAGAUUCCCCUGAGCCUUCUCUUCUACAGGCUGAACAGUCCCAGCUCCCUCAGCCUCUCCUGGGAUGAGAUAAGGUCUAGUAUCUUAAUUAGUCAUCUUUCUGGCUCUUCAUUAGACUCUCUCCAGCAUGCCCGUGUCUCUCUCAUACUGGAGAGCCCAGAACUGGCUACAGGACUGCAGGUGUAGUCUCACCAGUGCUGAGGACAGUGGAAGGAUCACCUCCCUUGACCUGGCAAUAUUUUGUCUAAUUUGCUGACUUUGUGCCACUGAUCACCACCCUCUGGGUAUGGCCAUUCGACCUGUUCUCAAUCUAACUCUCCUUAUGCUGAGAUGUAAGAUACAGGGUUCUGAAAGGCAAUGAACAGUUGCAACCUGAUGCACUACAAAAAUGAAUUUUUUUGCUUGUAUUAUUUUAUCAAAUCUCAAUGCUAACAGAGUCAAUGAGUUAUACUGCAACAUAUGUGACACUAGUUACCUUUCUUUAGUUAACAAACUGCCCUUAUAGCAAUAAUAAGAAACCCAGUAAGAUGGCUACUCUUCCCUACUGUCCUACCCACUCCAAA